GAGUUUUAUAAUGAUGAACAUUAAAUUUUUGUUGCAGUCAUUUGAGAGAUGGAGAGAGAAUCUGUAAAUUUUUCUGUAUAUAGGGAGACAAAAAAAUCUAAUUAAGUUAAAUAUUUUUGAUUCAGACGACUUCCUAGACGACUUGCUUGUAAGCAAUGUUUUUAAACCCGACCCGAACACUGAACCGGACGACUUACCGGAUCGCUGGAUCACUGGGUCGACUGCGGGCGAACCGCAGAUUAAUAAAUGAAUUAAUUUUAAUAUAUAAUAAUAUAUCAGCUAUGUAAAUAAAAAUAUAGAAAUUAAAGUUUAAUAUUUUCUAAAUAUUUUUAUAAACAUAAAAUAAUAGUCUCGGUGGGUAUAUUUUUAAGUUUAAUAGCAUUUAGAAAAUACUUAACUUUAAUUUCUAU
This 410-nucleotide long non-coding RNA is filed under the name Brassica napus (rape). RNAcentral describes it as "long non-coding RNA (BNAP_LNC018004)". Lineage: Eukaryota; Viridiplantae; Streptophyta; Magnoliopsida; Brassicales; Brassicaceae. The record is from RNAcentral.